Molecule: long non-coding RNA, 694 nt
Filed under: Manihot esculenta (cassava)
Lineage: Eukaryota; Viridiplantae; Streptophyta; Magnoliopsida; Malpighiales; Euphorbiaceae
Description: long non-coding RNA (MESC_LNC005905)
Source: RNAcentral
CCUUUUCAUUGCCUCCCAGAACUCAUAUCCAUGUGUGGCUCUAGCAGCAUUCCAAAAUUCUUGUUUUAGACCAAGUCCAGGAUAUUGCUUCUUAAAGUUGUUGAAUAUAUGUCUAGCACAAAAUCUAUGACAUGCCUCAGGAAACCAAUUAUUGACAGCUUCAAUAAGUCCCUAUAUAAGAAAAAAAGUAUUAAACACAUAAUUUUGUUAACAGAAAAAUAAAAGUAUAAAUGGUUCUGAUAGUAAUACCUUUUGUCUGUCACUCAUGAAUGUCAGAGGUGUUUCAUCAUCUUUUGGACCAAUGCAGGUUUUCAAGCAAUCAAAGAAAAAAUCCCAACUUGCACCACACUCAAUCUCCACAAUUGCAAUAGCUAAAGGAAUCACACCUUUAUCACCAUCAAGUGAUAUAGCUGAUAGCAAAACACCUCCAAAUGGACCCUUCAAGUGGCAACCAUCAACACCUAUAAAUGGUCUACAUCCAGCUUUAAAGCCAUCUACAAUUGGUUUAAAAGACAAAGACAUCCUCUUAAAUACUUUUGGAUCAUUAUCUGAAAGCCUAUCUCCAAACUGAAAUUUGACAAAAGUUCCUGGAUUAUGCCUUUGUAGCUUCUUCACAUAUUCGUCUAAAAUCUUAUAACUAUCUCUGUGACUUUAUUAUUAAUUAAAAUAAAAUGUUCAAAAUAACAAAAGGCGG